RNAcentral lists this ribosomal RNA (479 nucleotides) under uncultured bacterium. RNAcentral describes it as "bacterial SSU rRNA". It matches the Rfam family "Bacterial small subunit ribosomal RNA", at positions 50 to 436 of the family's 1533-position model. The record is from RNAcentral.
AACACAUGCAAGUCGGACGGAGUUAGUUGGUAGCACAAAGAGCUCAUAAGUUCAUGGUUCAUAGCAAAGAAUGGGUANAGGUUUUCAGCUAUGAAUUAUCGGCUAAGAGCCAUGAGCUUUAUGUGCUAUCAGCUAACUUAGUGGCGGACGGGUGAGUAACACGUUUGUAACCUACCUUUGAGCGGGGGACAACUCAGGGAAACUUGAGCUAAUACCCCAUAAGACCACGGGCUGGGAGGCUUGUGGUAAAAGUAGCGAUACACUCAUUGAUGGGCCUGCGGCCUAUCAGGUAGUUGGUGAGGUAACGGCUCACCAAGCCUAAGACGGGUAGCCGGGCUGAGAGGUUGAACGGCCACACUGGAACUGAGAUACCGUCCACACUCCUACGGGAAGCACCAGUGGGGAAUAUUGCGCAAUAGGGGAAACCCUGACGCACCACGCCGCGUGGAAGAUGAAGGUCUCCGGUUGUUAACUCCUUU